This is a long non-coding RNA of Bradysia coprophila, 535 nucleotides long. RefSeq lists it as uncharacterized. NCBI's taxonomy places the organism in Eukaryota, Metazoa, Arthropoda, Insecta, Diptera, Sciaridae. The record is from RefSeq and is a predicted model, not a curated record.
GAUGUCAGUGUGUGGAAAGCAGUUGCGUGUGCGCCAACAAAAACAUGUCAGCGUGAAGUGUAGUUGUUUUCGAAGAUUUUUUCGAAAAGUGCAACAACAAAUACUGUAAUCUACGGUCACCGCUUUUUUCAUAAAAAAAAAAAAAAAAAAAAAAAACAAAACAAAACAAAAACAUUUAUCGAGCUGUGCUCUCUAUAUAUUCUCGAAUUUGUACACUCAUUGUACGUUCAUUAACAUUGACUUGAUUUUUCUUCGAUUUAUCAACGAACACUUUUUUCCUUUGUUGUAGAACACAAAUUGAAUCUCAUCGAAGGGGCGGAAAAGGAGUGCGCCGAGCGAAUUUGACGAGGAAGGUCCAGCAGUCGAUGCAAAGAGGCAGAAGUUGGACUCUUCCGAUAGUGUGUCGUCCAGUGAAAACGAUUUGGCUCCGAUCAUGGUUCCCCACGAGUCGUACGAAGCGUAAGUGAACGUAUUUUUUUUGUUUAAUUUAAUUGGAAAUGACUGAAAAAUCGACACUCUGAAAUUAUUGAGAAAU